GAUGAACGCUGGCGGCGUGCCUAAUACAUGCAAGUAGAACGCUGAAGGAGGAGCUUGCUCUUUUGGAUGAGUUGCGAACGGGUGAGUAACGCGUAGGUAACCUGCCUGGUAGCGGGGGAUAACUAUUGGAAACGAUAGCUAAUACCGCAUGACAACAGUUAUUGCAUGAUAACUGUUUAAAAGGGGCAACUGCUCCACUACCAGAUGGACCUGCGUUGUAUUAGCUAGUUGGUGAGGUAACGGCUCACCAAGGCGACGAUACAUAGCCGACCUGAGAGGGUGAUCGGCCACACUGGGACUGAGACACGGCCCAGACUCCUACGGGAGGCAGCAGUAGGGAAUCUUCGGCAAUGGACGGAAGUCUGACCGAGCAACGCCGCGUGAGUGAAGAAGGUUUUCGGAUCGUAAAGCUCUGUUGUAAGAGAAGAACGAGUGUGAGAGUGGAAAGUUCACACUGUGACGGUAUCUGACCAGAAAGGGACGGCUAACUACGUG
This 495-nucleotide ribosomal RNA is filed under the name uncultured bacterium. RNAcentral's name for it is "partial 16S ribosomal RNA". It matches the Rfam family "Bacterial small subunit ribosomal RNA", at positions 28 to 507 of the family's 1533-position model. The record is from RNAcentral.